ACACUCAGAACCCUGGAGACCAAACUAAAAUCCGAACCUACGCCAGAAGUGACAGCCAAAAUCACGAAAUGUCAGACGGAAAUCAAAGAGCACAUGAAAAGAGACUCGACAAAAGCCCUACUGUGGUCCAAACAACUCUUCUACGACAAGGCAAACAAAGCUGACACUCUACUGGCACGAAAACUCAGGCAACGCACGGCCCAGAAACAGAUAAACAAAAUAGCCACACCAAAUGAGACCAUAACGGAGGACCCCAACAAGAUUUCAGAAGUAUUCCAAAACUACUUCACGUCCCUAUACGACCACGAC
Pelobates cultripes (western spadefoot toad) is the source of this 309-nucleotide non-coding RNA. NCBI's taxonomy places the organism in Eukaryota, Metazoa, Chordata, Amphibia, Anura, Pelobatidae. The record is from the annotation of a GenBank genome assembly.